CAUCUGGGAGGGAGACUCCAUGCUGCUCCAGUGCUCCGUGUUCUCCUGGACCCCAGCCACCCACAUCAUCUUCUGUAAGGACGGGGAGGAGAGUUCAUCCCAGAGAAAUUUACCUGUUGGUCAACCGGGAGAGCUGCUACCUCAUUCCCCUGGACCCCAAAAUUAGGAUUUAACUGAUACACUUUAACAGAAAUAGUUUAAGGUGAACAGGAAGAAGGGCUGAAGGGUGACCAGGAGGGGAUUCCUGCUGGGGCUCUUGUUGCCCCUGUGGUGCACGAUGCAAGACACAAGUAGUGUGCCAUGUGAAAGGGAGGACUGGAUACUAAUAGGGCCAGUCCACUGAUCCUAGACAGCUUAAAGGAUCUGUGAAACUCUGUAUCCACUUCAUUGGAUAUAACAAAAUAACUGGGUCAAGAAUACACAAGCCUGUUAAUAAAUGGUAUCAAAAUAAAGCAAUUGGAGGAAAGUUGUUGGAGAGACUGGAGCCUGGCUGGGUCCCUAACGUGUGUCAUUAAUCUAUGGGCAACUGCAGCACAUUGUUGUAUUUGGUGUCUGUGAUAAGCACCUUCCAUUCAGGCUAAACACAGGAACCAUUAAAUGCCCUUUUGUGUAGUUCCACCUGAAGCAAUGGGAAACCAAACCAC
Mauremys mutica (yellowpond turtle) is the source of this 644-nucleotide long non-coding RNA. RefSeq lists it as uncharacterized. Lineage: Eukaryota; Metazoa; Chordata; Testudines; Geoemydidae. The transcript is spliced from 3 exons. The record is from RefSeq and is a predicted model, not a curated record.